This 642-nucleotide ribosomal RNA is filed under the name uncultured crenarchaeote. RNAcentral describes it as "bacterial SSU rRNA". It matches the Rfam family "Archaeal small subunit ribosomal RNA", at positions 19 to 641 of the family's 1478-position model. The record is from RNAcentral. Lineage: Archaea; Thermoproteati; Thermoproteota.
GGACUCCACUGCUAUCGGGGUAAGGCUAAGCCAUGCAAGUCGAAGGCCUCCGGCUCCGGGGGCCUGGCGUACGGCUGAGUAACGCGUGGCCAACCUGCCCUGCGGAGGGGGAUAACCCCGGGAAACUGGGGAUAAACCCCCAUAGGUGACCGGGUCUGGAAGGACCGGUCGCCGAAAGUCCCGGUCGGGGAUGCUCCGGCCGGGAGCCGCAGGAUGGGGCUGCGUCCUAUCAGGUAGUUGAUGGGGUAACGGCCCACCAAGCCUGUGACGGGUAGGGGCCCUGAGAGGGGGAGCCCCCAGAUGGACUCUGAGACAAGAGUCCAGGCCCUACGGGGCGCAGCAGGCGCGAAAACUCCGCAAUGGGCGAAAGCCCGACGGGGUUACCCCGAGUGCCACCCUCGUGGUGGCUUUUGCCCGCUCUAAAAAGGCGGGCGAAUAAGGGGAGGGCAAGUCGGGUGUCAGCCGCCGCGGUAAUACCCGCUCCCCGAGUGGUGGAGGCUAUUACUGGGCCUAAAGCGCCCGUAGCCGGCCCGGUGUGUCCCUCGUUAAAUCCACGGGCUUAACCCGUGGGCUGCGGGGGAUACUACCGGGCUUGGGGGUGGGAGAGGCGCCCGGGUAUUCCCGGGGUAGGGGUAAAAUCCU